GUUUGAGAGCCGCUCUGGAUGGGCUCGCUAGAGUCGUUGUUGUGGAAGCGGUGCAUUUACAGUGCAACAGUCAGCACAUUGAAAAUACCAAUAGGAAUACAAAACAAAGUCACAUUUACUGAUUUAAUUGUAUUGCAUUCAGUUGUAUCCAGGAAACAGCCUCCAACCAUGGACCCGCACAGCGGCCGCUGGCUCGGUGCGCGGCCGCCCGCCGAGAAGCCCAGUCCUCCCGCGUGCUGACCGGCCCCGCCGCCACCACCGCCUGUGACCCCGGACGCCGCCGCCUCUGCGCCGCCCGCGCGCCGAGCCGCCCCCGGGCCCCGGCCGCGCUGCUCCGAGGAAGCGGCGGCGGACCGGGGCCGGGGCCCGGCAUGGAUGGCCGCGACUUUGCGCCGCCGCCGCAUCUGCUGUCGGAGCGCGGGAGCCUGGGCCACCGCAGCGCCGCUGCCGCCGCGCGUCUCGCCCCGGCUGGGCCCGCCGCGCAGCCCCCCGCACACUUCCAGCCGGGAAAGUACUUCCCGUCGCCGUUGCCCAUGGCUUCGCACACAGAUUUGUAACUGGAAAGAGAAGGAGAAAAAGCACUUGCCUGAGCGAUGGGUGAUUUAAAAAUAUCUCUUCUGCUGUCCCUGUGGUUAUCAAGCUUGUCUUCCUGCCCCUGCAUGGGAGCUGCUGCCCACCCGGCUCAGGUGCACGGGGCGCUGAGGCUGGGGCCGCCCUGGCAGAAGGGACAGCUCGCCAGCCUCCCCACCAGCCCCUCUUCUGGCUGAAGGCUGGUGGCCCCCACUGGGGGUAGGGGGAUUGUGUGCACCCCACCUCCACUGUACCGUGCCCUCCAGCCUGGCAAGUAACAGCACGACAGAGACAGGGGCCCCUGACACUGAGGCUUGCAUGUUGGUGCACAGGCAGGCUGGGGCUGUCCCCUCCGGGAGGCAAGGCCAAAUUCCCCAUCAGGUCAGGUCAGCACUCUCCCUGACCCCAUGCCCCAGCUCACAUCCUGGCCAGGUCCAGGCCAGCUGCAUUCUCCCCCUUCUGCCCUUACUUCCAGGUCUAGGCAGCACCCGGGUAGGUGGGCGCCUGGUCGGGUGGCCUAGCCCUUUGUCUUGCUCAUUCUAAGUUUGGCCACGUGGUUCUUGGCGUGUAGGCCCCGGAGGGCUGUGAGAAACGGCUCUGGGCUCUGGCCUGGCCUGUGUCCUCCCUGCUUCUUCUUGAUCCCAGGUCCUCCCAGCCUCCCCAAGCGCAGGGUGCUCUAGAGGGCGCUGGAGGCCCCUCGGGGCUGCCUCUUUCAGGGUCUGAAGGGUCAUGUGUCCCCGUCCCUGGAGGCCCCAUUUCCUCCCCCCUGCGGACCGAAGAGAACGCUUGUGCUCGGAGAUGUUCAACCCAUUUGUGAUGGGCAACUUGGUCAUGCAGACAUCCAGCUAGAAGCAUCUGUAGCUGAAAGAAAGCCUUUUGAAAUUGUUAAGAGCCAGAAUAUUGUAUUGGUUUUUAAAAUUUAGCUGCAUGUAUUUUUUUAAAAAAAGAAUUAUACCCC
RNAcentral lists this long non-coding RNA (1528 nucleotides) under Homo sapiens (human). RNAcentral's name for it is "long non-coding RNA NONHSAT175746.1". The record is from RNAcentral. Lineage: Eukaryota; Metazoa; Chordata; Mammalia; Primates; Hominidae.